This 459-nucleotide ribosomal RNA is filed under the name uncultured bacterium. Its description in RNAcentral is "partial 16S ribosomal RNA". It matches the Rfam family "Bacterial small subunit ribosomal RNA", at positions 338 to 795 of the family's 1533-position model. The record is from RNAcentral.
CCUACGGGUGGCAGCAGUGAGGAAUAUUGGUCAAUGGCCGCAAGGCUGAACCAGCCAAGUCGCGUGAGGGAUGACGGUCCUAUGGAUUGUAAACCUCUUUUGUCAGGGAGCAAAGGGAGCCACGUGUGGCGCUUUGCGAGUACCCGAAGAAAAAGCAUCGGCUAACUCCGUGCCAGCAGCCGCGGUAAUACGGAGGAUGCGAGCGUUAUCCGGAUUUAUUGGGUUUAAAGGGUGCGCGGGCGGAAUGUCAAGUCAGCGGUAAAAUUUCGGGGCUCAACCCCGUCGUGCCGUUGAGACUGGCGUUCUUGAGUGAGCGAGAAGUAUGCGGAAUGCGUGGUGUAGCGGUGAAAUGCAUAGAUAUCACGCAGAACUCCGAUUGCGAAGGCAGCAUACCGGCGCUCAACUGACGCUGAUGCACGAAAGCGUGGGUAUCGAACAGGAUUAGAUACCCUUGUAGUC